UACUAUGGUGACAAUCCCACCAUUAACUU
Molecule: non-coding RNA, 29 nt
Filed under: Mus musculus (house mouse)
Lineage: Eukaryota; Metazoa; Chordata; Mammalia; Rodentia; Muridae
Source: RNAcentral